GACAAACAGGGCCAAGUUAAGAAACAAAACAGUAGAAAAGGGGGUUAGAAAGAUGCAGAAAAAUGAUUAUUAAUAAUUAGCAAAGAGAAAUUAUGCUUUUUGUGGAGGUGGAAUUUGGGCAGAAAGAAUAAUCUUUUAUUCUCUUUAAUUUUGAUACCCCGAAAUCUUAAACUAAAAACCGGGAUUAGAUACCCCGCUAUUUGAGAUGUAAAUUUUAAUUUGAUGUUUGAUUUACUUGAGGAUUACGAAUUUUUAGCUGUUGCUAUUUAAGUUAUUUAAAACUCAAAAGACUUGGCGGUGCCUUAAAUCCUUUCAGGGGAACCUGUCCUGUAAUUGAUAGUCCACGAUUUAUCUUUCCUUUUUUUGAACUUAAUUUUAUGUCAGUUUGUAUACCGUCGUCGUCAGAUCACCUUUAAAAGGGAAGAAGUUAUCAAUAAAAGUGGAUACUAAUCGUUUUGACUUUAUAGUCAUUAUUGAUGUAUGUUUUUAGACGUCAGAUCAAGGUGCAGCCUAUAAAGGGGUAGAGAUGGGUUACAAUAAUUAGUUAUUAUACGUACCUUUUAUUGAAAAAUAAAAUUGAAGGAGGACUUGAAAGUAAUAUAGUAAAAGAAAUAGAGAGUCUUAAUGAAGGCGGUCCUAAGGCGUGC
RNAcentral lists this ribosomal RNA (647 nucleotides) under Astralium pileolum. RNAcentral's name for it is "partial 12S ribosomal RNA". The record is from RNAcentral. Lineage: Eukaryota; Metazoa; Mollusca; Gastropoda; Trochida; Turbinidae.